This 834-nucleotide ribosomal RNA is filed under the name Brotia pagodula. Its description in RNAcentral is "partial 16S ribosomal RNA". It matches the Rfam family "Bacterial large subunit ribosomal RNA", at positions 1450 to 2570 of the family's 2925-position model. Lineage: Eukaryota; Metazoa; Mollusca; Gastropoda; Pachychilidae. The record is from RNAcentral.
UGAGAUACUGAGCUCAGUAAGUUAUUUUAUAUUUUAAUCUACUGAGGAUUAGCUCAAUAGAGAAAACAGGAAAAUGUAUUAGUUAAAUAAAUUAUGUAGACUUGAAAUUAGCCAUCAUAACAGAACUUGUUAUAAAACAAUUUAUAAAAUCAAAAAAAUCUUUAUACUUGUUUUCCGGGUCUUAUAAAGGUAGUAGAAAGAAUUAAUAAAUCUAAUUUAUGUAUGCUAGGAUGAGUAUUUUUAAAUUUUAAGAAGGUAAAUUAAUUCGGAAUACCUGUAAUAGUAGUUAUUUACAAGAUAUGAAAUAAAGAGAAGGAACUCGGCAAAUAUCAGCUCCGCCUGUUUAUCAAAAACAUGGCUCUUUGUUAAGUUAAUAUAAAGAGUCUAACCUGCCCAGUGAGUUAUUUAACGGCCGCGGUACAUUGACCGUGCAAAGGUAGCAUAAUCAUUUGCCUUAUAAUUAAAGGCUUGUAUGAAUGGUUUAACGAGAGCAUUGCUGUCUUUUCUUUAAUAGAUAAAAUUUAACUUUUAGGUGAAGAGGCCUAAAUACAAUUGAAAGACAAGAAGACCCUAUCGAGCUUAAAAAUUAGAUUAGGGAUAAAUUAUAAAUUUAGAUUUAUUACUAAGUUUAUUUUUUGAUUGGGGCGAUCAAGGAAUAACAAAAGUUUCCUUUAACUACCUAAACUUAUAAGUAUUGAUCCAGCUAAAGCUGAUUGAAAGAAUUAGUUACCGUAGGGAUAACAGCAUAAUCUCUCUUGAGAGACCUAAUCGAAAGAGGGGAUUGUGACCUCGAUGUUGGACUAGAAUAUCCUAAAGGUGCAGAAGUCUUUAAGG